CCUACGGGAGGCAGCAGUGGGGAAUAUUGGACAAUGGGCGAAAGCCUGAUCCAGCAAUGCCGCGUGAGUGAAGAAGGCCUUCGGGUUGUAAAGCUCUUUUACCCGGGAAGAUAAUGACUGUACCGGGAGAAUAAGCCCCGGCUAACUCCGUGCCAGCAGCCGCGGUAAUACGGAGGGGGCUAGCGUUGUUCGGAAUUACUGGGCGUAAAGCGUACGUAGGCGGCCAUUCAAGUCAGAGGUGAAAGCCCGGGGCUCAACUCCGGAAUUGCCUUUGAAACUAGGUGGCUUGAACACGGGAGAGGUGAGUGGAAUUCCGAGUGUAGAGGUGAAAUUCGUAGAUAUUCGGAAGAACACCAGUGGCGAAGGCGGCUCACUGGACCGUUGUUGACGCUGAGGUACGAAAGCGUGGGGAGCAAACAGGAUUAGAUACCCUGGUAGUCCACGCCGUAAACGAUGAGAACUAGCUGUCAGGGCUCUUAGAGCUUUGGUGGCGCAGCUAACGCAUUAAGUUCUCCGCCUGGGGAGUACGGCCGCAAGGUUAAAACUCAAAUGAAAUUGACCGG
RNAcentral lists this ribosomal RNA (563 nucleotides) under uncultured bacterium. RNAcentral describes it as "bacterial SSU rRNA". It matches the Rfam family "Bacterial small subunit ribosomal RNA", at positions 338 to 917 of the family's 1533-position model. The record is from RNAcentral.